UACGGGGGGGGCAAGCGUUGUUCGGAAUUACUGGGCGUAAAGGGUUCGUAGGUGGCCAACUAAGUCAGACGUGAAAUCCCUCGGCUUAACCGGGGAACUGCGUCUGAUACUGGUUGGCUUGAGUGCAGGAGAGGAACGCGGAAUUCCAGGUGUAGCGGUGAAAUGCGUAGAUAUCUGGAGGAACACCGGUGGCGAAGGCGGCGUUCUGGACUGCAACUGACACUGAGGAACGAAAGCCAGGGGAGCAAACGGG
RNAcentral lists this ribosomal RNA (253 nucleotides) under uncultured bacterium. RNAcentral describes it as "partial 16S ribosomal RNA". It matches the Rfam family "Bacterial small subunit ribosomal RNA", at positions 524 to 776 of the family's 1533-position model. The record is from RNAcentral.